CUAUGGUAGAAGGGUGUUUUACUAUGGCAGGAGGGUGUUUUACUAUUUCAGAAGGGUGUUUUACUAUGGUAGAAGGGUGUUUUACUAUGUCAGAAGGGUGUUUUACUAUGUCAGAAGGGUGUUUUACCAUGGUAGAAGGGUGUUUUACUAUGGUAGAAGGGUGUUUUACUAUGGUAGAAGGGUGUUUUACUAUGGUAGAAGGGUGUUUUACUAUGGUAGAAGGGUGUUUUACUAUGGUAGAAGGGUGUUUUAGUGGCCGUUGUUCCCGUGAUAAAGUAUUUUCCCCCUUUUUAGUUUUCUCUUCUUUUGCAUAUUUUUGACACUGAAUGUUAUCAGAUCUUCAACCAAAACCUAAUAUUAGAUAAAGGAAACCUGAGUGAACAAAUAACACAACAAUUACAUUCUUUAUUUAAUUUAUUUCAUAAACAAAGUUAUGCAACACCAAAUUCCCCUGUGUGAAAAAGUGAUUGUCCCCUUAUACUCAAUAACUGGUUGUGCCUCCUUCAGCUGCAACGACUCCAACCAAACACUUCCUGUAGUUGUUGAUCAGUCCACCUUUAGCUGCAACGACUCCAACCAAACACUUCCUGUAGUUGUUGAUCAGUCCACCUUUAGCUGCAACGACUCCAACCAAACACUUCCUGUAGUUGUUGAUCAGUCCACCUUUAGCUGCAACGACUCCAACCAAACACUUCCUGUAGUUGUUGAUCAGUCCACCUUUAGCUGCAACGACUCCAACCAAACACUUCCUGUAGUUGUUGAUCAGUCUCUCACGUCGCUGUGGAGGAAUUCUGUCCCACUCUUCCAUGCGGAACUGCUUUAAUUCAGCAAUGUGUGGGUUUUCAAGCAUGAAAUGCUCUUUUCAAGUCCUGCCACAACAUCUCAAUUGGGACUAGGGAUUAGGUCUAAACUUUGACUAGGCCAUUCCAAUCUUCAAAUGUGUUGCUCUUUAGCCAUUUUUAUGUAGACUUGUGUUUUUAAUCAUUAUCUUGCUGCAUGACCCAGCUGCACUUCAGUUUCAGCUCACAGACGGACGGCCUGACAUCCUCCUGUAGAAUUCUCUGAUACAGAGCAGAAUUCAUGGUUCCCUACUAUUAAGGCAAGUCGUCCAGGUCCUGAGGUAGCAAAGCAUCCCCAAACCAUCACACUGCCACCACCAUGCUGACCCCAAACCAUCACACUACCACCACCAUGCUGACCCCAAACCAUCACACUACCACCACCAUGCUGACCCCAAACCAUCCCACUACCACCACCAUGCUGACCCCAAACCAUCACACUACCACCACCAUGCUGACCCCAAACCAUCACACUGCCACCACCAUGCUUGACCGUUGGUAUGAGGUUCUUACUGUGGAAUGCAGUGUUUAGUUUUUGCCAGGCAUAAAAACAAUUUUGUUUAACCAGGCAAGUCAGUUAAGAACAAAUUCUUAUUUUAAACGACGGCCAAGAAACAGUGGGUUAACUGCCUUGUUCAGGGACAGAAUGACAGAUUUAUACCUUGUCAGCUCGGGUGUUCAAUCUAGCAACCUGCUGGUUACUGGCCCAACGCUCUAACCACUAGGCUACCUGCUGGUUACUGGUCCAAUGCUCUAACCACUAGGCUACCUGCUGGUUACUGGCCCAAUGCUCUAACCACUAGGCUACCUGCUGGUUACUGG
Oncorhynchus tshawytscha (Chinook salmon) is the source of this 1661-nucleotide long non-coding RNA. The record is from Ensembl. NCBI's taxonomy places the organism in Eukaryota, Metazoa, Chordata, Actinopteri, Salmoniformes, Salmonidae.